Molecule: non-coding RNA, 984 nt
Organism: Dermacentor albipictus
Lineage: Eukaryota; Metazoa; Arthropoda; Arachnida; Ixodida; Ixodidae
Source: RefSeq, a predicted model, not a curated record
GCCGCGUACGAGGCGACCGUGGCGAAGACGCACGCCGAGGGAACAGAAGGGCGCGCCGUCCGAGGCCGACUUCGCCGGGGCCACAACCCGGUGCUCGGGCGUAGCGGAACUCCCAUUCCACGCGAGCAGCACGUACGCACGCGUUGUGAUGCGAACCGGAGCUGCGCACGCGCACAACCGCCGAAGCCUUUGCUCGACUACAACCGGCCAGGUGCGACGGACGGAGAAAACGCGAUCGUCUGUCCCGCCGCCGAGUCGAAUGGAGGUCGAGACACCGGCUACGGACUGCGUCAGCGUACGCAAGGUCUACCUCGCAGCUGCAGCUAUGGGCUCCACACGUGCUUCUCGUACAUCCCAUUGACCCAGCAUGCGGCACGACCAUGCGUGUGGUCUCAUUUCGGCGUCUGCCUGUGUUUUGGUGUCCAACUCGGCCGAUUGACCAACUGUACACGAGUGUUUAUUCAUUCCUCCCUAUUGGAAGCCGGAAUGCGACCGCCUUGGUCGAGAAUCGAACCAACGACCUCGUGUUCAGGAGCAGAGCGCCAUCACCAUUGAUACACCGCACGAACAAAAGGAAGUGUGACAACUGAACACCAAAAUGGAGUGCCUAUAUAGCAACCGCAGGGUUUCCGCGACGAACAAGACCAAGCGCAACAAAAAAGAAAGAAAGAAAAAAGAAACGCGUGAAGAUCCGAAAGGCUGCAGCCGUGCAAGCGAAUGUUCCAGCAAUGUCGGAAAGGCAGGGGAAAGGAUACAAGGCUUGCUGCUUGGCUGUGUCAUGUGGCAAGUCGGGGAGCAACACCAAGGCCGAAAUAUUUCCGUUUCCCAACGCUAGAGAUGUGACGCAUGGCGAAAUGACGCUGAAUAGGGACUCCUGGUGGGGCUUACAUAGAAGCAGAUGUAUAACGGCUACGGCUUCUGCCCUGACCACCUCAGAGGAAGGGACUGCACCGACCCUGUCGGGGUCGGCUGUGUCGACUGUUG